Molecule: ribosomal RNA, 253 nt
Filed under: uncultured Eubacteriales bacterium
Lineage: Bacteria; Bacillati; Bacillota; Clostridia; Eubacteriales
Description: uncultured Clostridiales bacterium partial 16S ribosomal RNA
Rfam family: Bacterial small subunit ribosomal RNA
Source: RNAcentral
UACGUAGGGGGCAAGCGUUAUCCGGAUUUACUGGGUGUAAAGGGAGCGUAGGUGGCAGGGCAAGUCAGAUGUGAAAACCCGGGGCUCAACCCCGGGAGUGCAUUUGAAACUGUCGUUCUUGAGUACUGGAGAGGUUGACGGAAUUCCUAGUGUAGCGGUGAAAUGCGUAGAUAUUAGGAGGAACACCAGUGGCGAAGGCGGCCGCCUGGCCUGUUACUGACGCUGAGGCACGAAAGCGUGGGGAGCAAACAGG